Molecule: ribosomal RNA, 253 nt
Filed under: uncultured bacterium
Lineage: Bacteria
Description: partial 16S ribosomal RNA
Rfam family: Bacterial small subunit ribosomal RNA
Source: RNAcentral
UACAGGGGGGGCAAGCGUUGUUCGGAAUUACUGGGCGUAAAGGGUUCGUAGGUGGCCACUUAAGUCAGACGUGAAAUCCCUCAGCUUAACUGGGGAACUGCGUCUGAUACUGGGUGGCUUGAGUGCAGGAGAGGAAUGCGGAAUUCCAGGUGUAGCGGUGAAAUGCGUAGAUAUCUGGAGGAACACCGGUGGCGAAGGCGGCAUUCUGGACUGUAACUGACACUGAGGAACGAAAGCGUGGGGAGCGAACAGG